RNAcentral lists this ribosomal RNA (490 nucleotides) under uncultured bacterium. Its description in RNAcentral is "partial 16S ribosomal RNA". It matches the Rfam family "Bacterial small subunit ribosomal RNA", at positions 30 to 507 of the family's 1533-position model. The record is from RNAcentral.
AUUGAACGCUGGCGGCAGGCCUAACACAUGCAAGUCGAACGGUAACAGGAAACAGCUUGCUGUUUCGCUGACGAGUGGCGGACGGGUGAGUAAUGUCUGGGAAACUGCCUGAUGGAGGGGGAUAACUACUGGAAACGGUAGCUAAUACCGCAUAACGUCGCAAGACCAAAGAGGGGGACCCUCGGGCCUCUUGCCAUCGGAUGUGCCCAGAUGGGAUUAGCUUGUUGGUGGGGUAACGGCUCACUAAGGCGACGAUCCCUAGCUGGUCUGAGAGGAUGACCAGCCACACUGGAACUGAGACACGGUCCAGACUCCUACGGGAGGCAGCAGUGGGGAAUAUUGCACAAUGGGCGCAAGCCUGAUGCAGCCAUGCCGCGUGUAUGAAGAAGGCCUUCGGGUUGUAAAGUACUUUCAGCGGGGAGGAAGGGAGUAAAGUUAAUACCUUUGCUCAUUGACGUUACCCGCAGAAGAAGCACCGGCUAACUCCGUG